UUCAAUUAUGUAAGAUGGUUCUUUUGGGCAGAUUAAUAGAUUGUUUAGAGAAUGAAAACUUCAAACGUCAGUUUUAAUAUCUAAAAUGGAAUUUUUACAUUGGGACGUCAAAUGUAGAGUUCGUUUGAUUCGAUUUCGAGUGAACUCAAAAACAAAAUGUAGGUUUUUCCUUUCGACAAAGCUAAUAUAUUAAAAAGAGUUUACAAGGUACUAUUAAAAAGAGUUCUCAAGAGCCGCCGGCACUAUUUAAGACCUUUGAAAUACUACUGUAUUUGCUAGUUUCUCACUUUUAGGAAGCUAAUAAAUGAACAUUGGGAGUCAAACUUAUAACUUCACGUCUUAUAAAGUCUAGGCAAUGAACUCUAGACAAUUGCUUUAAACAAAUUCAAAAGUAAUACGUUUCCUUAAGUACUGGGUAAUCAUAAUUUUCUUAGGGAAAAUUGUUUUUUUAGAGCAAAAAAAUGGUAACUAUGUCUUUUUAUACUAAUCUAUACUACUUUAUGUCCCAUUAGACUAAUUUUUUUCAAAAUGGCAGUAAUGCCCUUAAAAUUGUAAUUUUUAUUCUUUUUUUCUUUUUUUUUGUUUUUUUUGUUCCUUUUUCGUUUUUUUUUUUUUUUAAAAUCGAUUUUUUUUUCAAAAUAUAAAAGUGAAUAUUCCCAAAUAUUUUGUUUCCAUAUUUUUAGGAACUGAUUUCUUAUCCGUAGAAUACAACUAAUAUGUAGAAAUCGGUUUCUACAGUUUUUUAGAAUUAUAGUAAUGUUUAGAUUUUGAUGUCUACAUGUUUUAGAUUUAUAGUAAAUCUGUAGAAGUCGGUUUCUACGUGUUUUAGAUUUAUAUUAAUGUGUAGAUUUUGAUUUCUAAAGAUUUUAGAACGAUAGGUUAAGCGCGGAAUGUGUAUUCUAAAUAUUUUUAGAAUACUCCUAUUUACGUAGAUCACGUAUUCUAAACAUUGUAGAUUCAAUGAAAAAAGUGGAUUUUGUUUUCUACUUCGUAGAAUGUCAUUUCUACUUUAUUUAGAACAUAAUAUGAAAUUUAUAAUUUUAACUUUUUUAUAACUGGAAAAAAUAUCACUAAGUUCAUAUA
RNAcentral lists this long non-coding RNA (1083 nucleotides) under Brassica rapa (field mustard). RNAcentral's name for it is "long non-coding RNA (BRAP_LNC004838)". The record is from RNAcentral. Lineage: Eukaryota; Viridiplantae; Streptophyta; Magnoliopsida; Brassicales; Brassicaceae.